GCCCCUGUAGCUCAGUGGAUAGAGCAUUGCCCUCCGGAGGCAGGGACCGGCGUUCGAGUCGCCGCAGGGGCGCUA
Molecule: transfer RNA, 75 nt
Filed under: Chloroflexi bacterium RBG_16_48_8
Lineage: Bacteria; Bacillati; Chloroflexota
Description: tRNA-Arg
Rfam family: tRNA
About the family: Transfer RNA (tRNA) molecules are approximately 80 nucleotides in length.
Source: RNAcentral